AUUGAACGCUGGCGGCAUGCCUUAUACAUGCAAGUCGAACGGAAGCGCGGGCUUCGGCCUGGCGGCGAGUGGCGAACGGGCGAGUAAUGCACAGGAACGUGCCCAGUCGUGGGGGAUAGCCCGGCGAAAGCCGGCUUAAUAUAGUAUCCGAUCUGAGGGUGAACGCGGGGGAUCGAAAGGCCUAGAGGUUUUGGAGGGCCCGAUGUCGGAUUAGCUAGUUGGUGCGGUAAAGGCUUACCAAGGCGACGAUCCGUAGCAGAUCUGAGAAGACGACCUGCCACACUGGGACUGAGACACGGCCCAGACUCCUACGGGAGGCAGCAGUGGGGAAUUUUGGGCAAUGGGGGCAACCCUGAUCCAGCCAUGCCGCGUGCGGGAAGAAGGCCUUCGGGUUGUAAACCGCUUUUAUUCGGGAAGAAAACCUCUGUGCGAAUACCCCGAGAUGAUGACGGUACCUAAAGAGUAAGCACCGGCUAACUACGUG
RNAcentral lists this ribosomal RNA (484 nucleotides) under uncultured bacterium. RNAcentral describes it as "partial 16S ribosomal RNA". It matches the Rfam family "Bacterial small subunit ribosomal RNA", at positions 29 to 507 of the family's 1533-position model. The record is from RNAcentral.